This 585-nucleotide ribosomal RNA is filed under the name uncultured bacterium. RNAcentral's name for it is "partial 16S ribosomal RNA". It matches the Rfam family "Bacterial small subunit ribosomal RNA", at positions 355 to 1375 of the family's 1533-position model. The record is from RNAcentral.
UGGGGAAUUUUGGACAAUGGGCGAAAGCCUGAUCCAGCAAUGCCGCGUGUGUGAAGAAGGCCUUCGGGUUGUAAAGCACUUUUGUCCGGAAAGAAAUCCUUGGCUCUAAUACAGUCGGGGGAUGACGGUACCGGAAGGAUAAGCACCGGCUAACUACGUGCCAGCAGCCGCGGUAAUACGUAGGGUGCAAGCGUUAAUCGGAAUUACUGGGCGUAAAGCGUGCGCAGGCGGUUUGCUAAGACCGAUGUGAAAUCCCCGGGCUCAACCUGGGAACUGCAUUGGUGACUGGCAGGCUAGAGUAUGGCAGAGGGGGGUAGAAUUCCACGUGUAGCAGUGAAAUGCGUAGAGAUGUGGAGGAAUACCGAUGGCGAAGGCAGCCCCCUGGGCCAAUACUGACGCUCAUGCACGAAAGCGUGGGGAGCAAACAGGAUUAGAUACCCUGGUAGUCCACGCCCUAAACGAUGUCAACUAGUUGUUGGGGAUUCAUUUCCUUAGUAACGUAGCUAACGCGUGAAGUUGACCGCCUGGGGAGUACGGUCGCAAGAUUAAAACUCAAAUGAAUUGACGGGGUCAUAGCUGUUUCCU